CCAAAUUUCCCCUUUCUUUAUCGUCCCCCUGUAACGGCUGAUGCCGUGGGUGCUUUAGGAGCCAGAAUGGGAACUCACUAUCCUGCUCCUCCUCCUCCUCCGCCUACAGCACGAUACUCACCAGACUUUCUUGACAAUCAUAAAAACGGAGAAUGAGUAGUAAUACGUACGAAAAUAUAAACGUUGUGAUUGUGAUAGGAGAAUUCAUAAUCGAAAUAAGUUACAUGAAAAUAACUUGUAAAAAGAGAAUAUAGGAGUCUAGACUGUUACACACCCAUUCAAACACAAAAAUAUACCCACACACACACAUACACACACACAGACACACACACACACAACACACAGGCACACACACACAACACA
This is a long non-coding RNA of Penaeus monodon (black tiger shrimp), 363 nucleotides long. RefSeq lists it as uncharacterized. The transcript is spliced from 3 exons. NCBI's taxonomy places the organism in Eukaryota, Metazoa, Arthropoda, Malacostraca, Decapoda, Penaeidae. The record is from RefSeq and is a predicted model, not a curated record.